Molecule: long non-coding RNA, 1278 nt
Organism: Oncorhynchus keta (chum salmon)
Lineage: Eukaryota; Metazoa; Chordata; Actinopteri; Salmoniformes; Salmonidae
Exons: 3
Source: RefSeq, a predicted model, not a curated record
AAUUGAUCCAUUCAGAAAGUAUAUAUACAUGUGCUUUUGGAAAGUAUUCACACCCUUUGACUUAUUUCACAUUUUGGUGUGUUACAGCCUGAAUUCAAAAUAGAUUACAUAUGUUUUUCCCUCAUCCAUCUACACACAAUAUACCCUAUCAUGACAAAGUGAAAACAUGUUUUUUUAAAUGUUGGCAAAUGUAUUGAAAAUGAAACAGUAUUCACACCACCGAGUCAAUACUUUGUAGAAGCACCUUUAGCAGUGAUUACAGCUGUGCGUCUUUCUGGGUAAGUUUCUAAGAGCUUUCCACACCUGGUUGUGCAACACAACCCAGCUCUGUCAAGUUGGUUGUUGAUCAUUGCAAGACAACCAUUUUCAGGUCUUGCCAUAGAUUUUCAAGUAGAUUUAAGUCAAAACUGUAACUCGGCCACUCAGGAACAUUGACUGUCUUCUUGCUAAGCAACUCCAGUGUAGAUGUGGCCUUGUGUUUUAAGUUAUUAUCCUGUUGAAGGUUGAAUUGAUUUCCAAGUGUCUGGUGGAAAGCAGACUGAACCAGGUUUUCCUCUAGGAUUUUGCCUGUGCUUACCUCCAUUCCGUUUAUGUUUUAUCCUGAAAAACUCCCCCAGUCCUUAACGAUUAGAACCAUACUCAUAACAUGAUGCUGUCACCACUAUGCUAGAAAAUAUGGAGAGUGGUACUCAGUAAUGUGUUGUAUUGGAUUUGCCCCAAACAUAACACUUUGUAUUCAGGACCAAAAGUUAAUUCACAUUUUAUUGUGAUAUUAUUUUAGUGCGUUGUUGCAAACUGGUUCCUCUUUUUCACUAUGUCAAUGAGUUUAGUACUGUGGAGUAACUACAAUAUUAUUUAUUCUAUAUUCUACAAUAUUCUUCUAUCACAAUAUUCUUCUAUCACAGCCAUUAACCUCUGUAACUGUUUUAAAGUCACCAUUGGCCUCAUGGUGAAAUCACUGAGCGGUUUCCUUCCUCUCCGGCAACUGAGUUAGGAAGGACGCCUGUAUAUAGUGGAUGUAUCGAUACACCAUCCAAAGUGUAAUGAAUAACUUCAUCAUGCUCAAAGUAUUCAAUGACUGCUUUUUUGUUGUUUUUACCCAUCUACCAAUAUGUGCCCUUUUUUUAAUGUUUACCCAUCUACCAAUAUGUGCCCUUUUUUUAAUGUUUACCCAUCUACCAAUAGGUGCCCUUUUUUAAUGUUUACCCAUCUACCAAUAGGUGCCCUUUUUUUAAUGUUUACCCAUCUACCAAUAGGUGCCCUUUUUUAAUGUUUACC